GAAACUUCAAAUAUGGAUCUCAAUCACAAGCAAGGGUAACGAGGACCCAGUGACCAUGAAGAGGCUCCAGAAGUUCAUGACCUUCUGUUAUGAAGAGUUACUUAUAGUACUAUCUGUGCUCAACAGAAAAGUGCCUACUGAAGAUAAAGAAGCUGAAGCAUCAAGAAGUUAAGCCCCAAAACUUGCUGUUAGCGAAUGGAAGAGUUAGGAUUACAAACCGAGGCAACAAAAGGGAAAAGGAAGAAGUUCCAUGCUCUCAACCACUGCAUUUCUGGCACCUCACCCUGUGCUGCCUUGGUUCCUCACUUACCCCAGCAUCUUUCUUGCUUAACUUUUGUUAUCUUUCCUACAGAGCACAUCUUCUCAUUCUUGCUUAUUGGAGAAGAUUGCUUAUAAGCAGCUUCUCCAAAUCCUACAUGCUGAAUCAUGUAGUUUUAAUUAACUCUCCCAUAGUAUCUUAGAAGUAUUACUCAUUUAAUCUUUC
Symphalangus syndactylus (siamang) is the source of this 484-nucleotide long non-coding RNA. RefSeq lists it as uncharacterized. The record is from RefSeq and is a predicted model, not a curated record. Lineage: Eukaryota; Metazoa; Chordata; Mammalia; Primates; Hylobatidae.